This 497-nucleotide ribosomal RNA is filed under the name uncultured bacterium. RNAcentral's name for it is "partial 16S ribosomal RNA". It matches the Rfam family "Bacterial small subunit ribosomal RNA", at positions 28 to 507 of the family's 1533-position model. The record is from RNAcentral.
GAUGAACGCUGGCGGCGUGCCUAAUACAUGCCAGUCGAGCGAACGGACGAGGAGCUUGUUCCUCUGAUGUUAGCGGCGGACGGGUGAGUAACACGUGGAUAACCUACCUAUAAGACUGGGAUAACUUCGGGAAACCGGAGCUAAUACCGGAUAAUAUUUUGAACCGCAUGGUUCAAAAGUGAAAGACGGUCUUGCUGUCACUUAUAGAUGGAUCCGCGCUGCAUUAGCUAGUUGGUAAGGUAACGGCUUACCAAGGCAACGAUGCAUAGCCGACCUGAGAGGGUGAUCGGCCACACUGGAACUGAGACACGGUCCAGACUCCUACGGGAGGCAGCAGUAGGGAAUCUUCCGCAAUGGGCGAAAGCCUGACGGAGCAACGCCGCGUGAGUGAUGAAGGUCUUCGGAUCGUAAAACUCUGUUAUUAGGGAAGAACAUAUGUGUAAGUAACUGUGCACAUCUUGACGGUACCUAAUCAGAAAGCCACGGCUAACUACGUG